Molecule: unclassified non-coding RNA, 336 nt
Filed under: soil metagenome
Description: partial contains 5.8S ribosomal RNA, internal transcribed spacer 2, and large subunit ribosomal RNA
Rfam family: 5.8S ribosomal RNA (bases 1-120)
Source: RNAcentral
GAUGAAGAACGUAGCGAAAUGCGAUAAGUAAUGUGAAUUGCAGAAUUCAGUGAAUCAUCGAAUCUUUGAACGCACAUUGCGCCCGCCAGUAUUCUGGCGGGCAUGCCUGUUCGAGCGUCAUUUCAACCAUCAAGCCCCAGGCUUGUGUUGGGGACCUGCGGCUGCCGCAGGCCCUGAAAACCAGUGGCGGGCUCGCUGUCACACCGGGCGUAGUAGAUUUUAUCUCGCUCAGGGCGUGCUGCGGGUUCCGGCCGUUAAAAAGCCUUUUUUACCCAAGGUUGACCUCGGACCAGGUAGGAAGACCCGCUGAACUUAAGCAUAUCAAUAAGCGGAGGA